GAUGAACGCUGGCGGCGUGCCUAAUACAUGCAAGUCGAGCGAACAGACGAGGAGCUUGCUCCUCUGACGUUAGCGGCGGAUGGGUGAGUAACAUGUGGAUAACCUACCUAUAAGACUGGGAUAACUUCGGGAAACCGGAGCUAAUACCGGAUAAUAUAUUGAACCGCAUGGUUCAAUAGUGAAAGACGGUUUUGCUGUCACUUAUAGAUGGAUCCGCGCCGCAUUAGCUAGUUGGUAAGGUAACGGCUUACCAAGGCAACGAUGCGUAGCCGACCUGAGAGGGUGAUCGGCCACACUGGAACUGAGACACGGUCCAGACUCCUACGGGAGGCAGCAGUAGGGAAUCUUCCGCAAUGGACGAAAGCCUGACGGAGCAACGCCGCGUGAGUGAUGAAGGUCUUCGGAUCGUAAAACUCUGUUAUUAGGGAAGAACAAAUGUGUAAGUAACUAUGCACGUCUUGACGGUACCUAAUCAGAAAGCCACGGCUAACUACGUG
RNAcentral lists this ribosomal RNA (497 nucleotides) under uncultured bacterium. RNAcentral describes it as "partial 16S ribosomal RNA". It matches the Rfam family "Bacterial small subunit ribosomal RNA", at positions 28 to 507 of the family's 1533-position model. The record is from RNAcentral.